AACGCGAUAAGUCGACCGCCUGGGGAGUACGGCCGCAAGGUUAAAACUCAAAUGAAUUGACGGGGGCCCGCACAAGCGGUGGAGCAUGUGGUUUAAUUCGAUGCAACGCGAAGAACCUUACCUACUCUUGACAUCCUGCGAACUUGUGAGAGAUCACUUGGUGCCUUCGGGAGCGCAGAGACAGGUGCUGCAUGGCUGUCGUCAGCUCGUGUUGUGAAAUGUUGGGUUAAGUCCCGUAACGAGCGCAACCCUUGUCCUUAUUUGCCAGCGGGUAAUGCCGGGAACUCUAAGGAGACUGCCGGUGACAAACCGGAGGAAGGUGGGGACGACGUCAAGUCAUCAUGGCCCUUACGAGUAGGGCUACACACGUGCUACAAUGGCCGGUACAAAGGGUUGCGAGCUCGCGAGAGUCAGCUAAUCCCGAAAAGCCGGUCUCAGUCCGGAUCGGAGUCUGCAACUCGACUCCGUGAAGUCGGAAUCGCUAGUAAUCGUGAAUCAGAAUGUCACGGUGAAUACGUUCCCGGGCCUUGCACACACCGCCCGU
This 544-nucleotide ribosomal RNA is filed under the name uncultured bacterium. RNAcentral's name for it is "bacterial SSU rRNA". It matches the Rfam family "Bacterial small subunit ribosomal RNA", at positions 854 to 1397 of the family's 1533-position model. The record is from RNAcentral.